This 753-nucleotide ribosomal RNA is filed under the name uncultured bacterium. RNAcentral's name for it is "bacterial SSU rRNA". It matches the Rfam family "Bacterial small subunit ribosomal RNA", at positions 576 to 1327 of the family's 1533-position model. The record is from RNAcentral.
UGGUUUGUCGCGUUGUUCGUGAAAUCUCACGGCUUAACUGUGAGCGUGCGGGCGAUACGGGCAGACUUGAGUACUGCAGGGGAGACUGGAAUUCCUGGUGUAGCGGUGGAAUGCGCAGAUAUCAGGAGGAACACCGGUGGCGAAGGCGGGUCUCUGGGCAGUAACUGACGCUGAGGAGCGAAAGCGUGGGGAGCGAACAGGAUUAGAUACCCUGGUAGUCCACGCCGUAAACGGUGGGUACUAGGUGUGGGUUUCCUUCCUUGGGAUCCGUGCCGUAGCUAACGCAUUAAGUACCCCGCCUGGGGAGUACGGCCGCAAGGCUAAAACUCAAAGAAAUUGACGGGGGCCCGCACAAGCGGCGGAGCAUGUGGAUUAAUUCGAUGCAACGCGAAGAACCUUACCUGGGUUUGACAUGCACAGGACGCCGGCAGAGAUGUCGGUUCCCUUGUGGCCUGUGUGCAGGUGGUGCAUGGCUGUCGUCAGCUCGUGUCGUGAGAUGUUGGGUUAAGUCCCGCAACGAGCGCAACCCUUGUCUCAUGUUGCCAGCGGGUAAUGCCGGGGACUCGUGAGAGACUGCCGGGGUCAACUCGGAGGAAGGUGGGGAUGACGUCAAGUCAUCAUGCCCCUUAUGUCCAGGGCUUCACACAUGCUACAAUGGCCGGUACAAAGGGCUGCGAUGCCGCGAGGUUAAGCGAAUCCUUUUAAAGCCGGUCUCAGUUCGGAUCGGGGUCUGCAACUCGACCCCGUGAAGUC